UUAAAAUGAUGAUCUCAUUCAGUUCUGCUUCUGAUAUGUCAUUGAAGAAAACUUUUACCCACAUUCCUGAGUU
Cydia strobilella is the source of this 73-nucleotide small nucleolar RNA. Lineage: Eukaryota; Metazoa; Arthropoda; Insecta; Lepidoptera; Tortricidae. The record is from RefSeq and is a predicted model, not a curated record.